AAAGAACUGUAUUUGAAACUACAACAACUGAAAAGUAAACUGAAAAGACUGAAAUCCACUAAGGAUAAACCUGGCCUCAAACCUCUCAACUCCCCAAAGCGCCAGAAAUUUGAAAGACAUAAACCUGACCCAACAGCCCGGCUUCCUAAAUUUGAGAAAGUCCUGAAUGCUUGGUUUCAGCACAUUUGUGGGACAAGUAAAAAGGACGUCGAAAAUGCCAAACAACGGGUCUAUCAUGUCCGUACCUGGGCAUAUUUCAUGUCUCACAAUCAAGUCCCUGCAAUGACGUUUGCAUUUAUGGACAACAGAGAAAGACUGACUGAAUGGACAACUUAUCUGAAUAAAUAUGCUGUAACAACCAAAAGGAUUUGGAUUGGAAAUGUGAGGGCGUUCUUGCAAUUUCUGAUUGAUG
Molecule: long non-coding RNA, 412 nt
Organism: Oreochromis aureus
Lineage: Eukaryota; Metazoa; Chordata; Actinopteri; Cichliformes; Cichlidae
Source: Ensembl